RNAcentral lists this long non-coding RNA (1104 nucleotides) under Musa acuminata (dwarf banana). RNAcentral describes it as "long non-coding RNA (MACU_LNC007074)". Lineage: Eukaryota; Viridiplantae; Streptophyta; Magnoliopsida; Zingiberales; Musaceae. The record is from RNAcentral.
AAAAAAUCGAUCUCUUAGAAGUGAUCAAGGAGGUCGAUUCUGUUGAAGUGGUCAUCCAUUUUCUCUCACUUCUUGUACGAUAAAACCUUAUCGAUCUUAUCAGUGAUAUAUAUAAAAAAAUAAGAUUAGAUCAUAAUAAAAAAUUUUGAUUAGUCAAUUAGUAAUCUUAUUUUUUUAUAUAUAUCACUGAUCUAUAGAGCUUUUCUUGUAAUUCUAUAAUUUUGCCAAUAUAAUUUUUUUAAAAAUUAUAUGAAUGAACAGCUUAGUAAAUGGUCAAAAGCAAUGCUUAUGUCUCAUUUUGAUCAUCUUGUUAAGUUCUGUAAGUCUACCUGCAGCUUUGUGGCACAAAUUAGCAUUCUAGAGUCAGUGAAACAGCUAGUGAAAGAGACAUGACGGCCAAAGGACAUCUUUUCUGCAUCAUAAUCCAAGAGAAAGGAUUGCUACAGCAUCUCGUGGCACUUACUAGGUGAGAUACACUGACGCACACAAUUCACAAACCGUGAAAGCUUUGAUGGAUCAGCUGCAGCUACUCAUAUAUCCUUGGUUUUGUGGUUGUAGUAGCAGUAGGAGGGCAGCAGCCAUCCUCGUCUUCCCCAAUCUCAAUCUCCCUUGGCUUCCUUCUCCUUAGGCUUGCUGUUCUUCUUCGUCUUCAUGAAGCAGAAGCAGGAGCAGCAUGGGCACUGAAACAAGAACUUCAUGGCGUGUACCCUCCUAUGUUUUCUGAUCAAGGAAACUAUAUGACCUCAGUCUCUUCCCCUUCUCCUCCAUUUAAAUCCCUUCAAAAAGGAGUGGAAUCUAUUCCUUUCCCCGUCACCACAAAAAAAAGAAGAGGAUGCCUAUGGUCUAACCCUAGAAGGGCAUAUGGGCAUGAUCAAAAGUUGUUUGUUUCUUCUAGGGUGGGUCAUGGGGCUUUCACAAAAGAAAAACUCUAUCAUUAUUUACGCUCCUCUACAAAACUUAGGCUGCUGUUUAAAUAGCAUUGCUUGAAGCAUCCACCGUUGGUUUUUGGACUUUGAACGUAGUAUCGAAGCUUUACUGUCAGACAUGACCUUUGGACACGUACGGUAAAUAUUGUCCCUAAAGGCAACAAUGGUAGAUUUCAGC